This 467-nucleotide ribosomal RNA is filed under the name uncultured bacterium. RNAcentral describes it as "partial 16S ribosomal RNA". It matches the Rfam family "Bacterial small subunit ribosomal RNA", at positions 28 to 507 of the family's 1533-position model. The record is from RNAcentral.
GAUGAACGCUGGCGGCGUGCUUAACACAUGCAAGUCGAACGGAAAGGCCCAAGCUUGCUUGGGUACUCGAGUGGCGAACGGGUGAGUAACACGUGGGUGAUCUGCCCUGCACUUCGGGAUAAGCCUGGGAAACUGGGUCUAAUACCGGAUAGGACCACAUUUUGGAUGGUGUGGUGGAAAGUUUUUCGGUGUGGGAUGAGCUCGCGGCCUAUCAGCUUGUUGGUGGGGUAAUGGCCUACCAAGGCGUCGACGGGUAGCCGGCCUGAGAGGGUGUACGGACGCAUUGGGACUGAGAUACGGCCCAGAGUCGUACGGGAGGCAGCAGUGGGGAAUAUUGCACAAUGGGCGCAAGCCUGAUGCAGCGACGCCGCGUGGGGGAUGACGGCCUUCGGGUUGGAAACUCCUUUCGCUAGGGACGAAGCGUUUUUGUGACGGUACCUGGAGAAGAAGCACCGGCUAACUACGUG